CCCUUCGGGGUGGAUUAGUGGCGAACGGGUGAGUAACACGUGGGCAAUCUGCCCUUCACUCUGGGACAAGCCCUGGAAACGGGGUCUAAUACCGGAUAACACUCCUGCCUGCAUGGGCGGGGGUUAAAAGCUCCGGCGGUGAAGGAUGAGCCCGCGGCCUAUCAGCUUGUUGGUGAGGUAGUGGCUCACCAAGGCGACGACGGGUAGCCGGCCUGAGAGGGCGACCGGCCACACUGGGACUGAGACACGGCCCAGACUCCUACGGGAGGCAGCAGUGGGGAAUAUUGCACAAUGGGCGAAAGCCUGAUGCAGCGACGCCGCGUGAGGGAUGACGGCCUUCGGGUUGUAAACCUCUUUCAGCAGGGAAGAAGCGAAAGUGACGGUACCUGCAGAAGAAGCGCCGGCUAACUACGUGCCAGCAGCCGCGGUAAUACGUAGGGCGCAAGCGUUGUCCGGAAUUAUUGGGCGUAAAGAGCUCGUAGGCGGCUUGUCACGUCGGUUGUGAAAGCCCGGGGCUUAACCCCGGGUCUGCAGUCGAUACGGGCAGGCUAGAGUGUGGUAG
RNAcentral lists this ribosomal RNA (562 nucleotides) under Streptomyces spiroverticillatus. RNAcentral describes it as "bacterial SSU rRNA". It matches the Rfam family "Bacterial small subunit ribosomal RNA", at positions 76 to 654 of the family's 1533-position model. The record is from RNAcentral. Lineage: Bacteria; Bacillati; Actinomycetota; Actinomycetes; Kitasatosporales; Streptomycetaceae.